This is a long non-coding RNA of Sander lucioperca (pikeperch), 1889 nucleotides long. RefSeq lists it as uncharacterized. The record is from RefSeq and is a predicted model, not a curated record. The transcript has 3 exons. NCBI's taxonomy places the organism in Eukaryota, Metazoa, Chordata, Actinopteri, Perciformes, Percidae.
UAUAUCUUGGCUGAUCUGAAGCUAUUAAGACGACUCUUCAGAGCAUUUAUAAGAACUGAAAGUGAUAUUUGUGUGCACAUUACUGUCAUCAUCUUCCCUCCAGCUCUUCUGCAUGUCGUACUCCUGUUCCAGGGUCAGUGGCUCUGAAGCAGUCAGCUGCUGCAGCUCAGGAGACUUCAUCCACUCAUGAUACCUGAUACAAAAGACACGGAAAGGACUGAAUGGCUCGGCCCAGUCCGUGCCACAGUUCGACCGGCUCCUGUGGCGUGUUAACCAUGUCCAUCCAGUGCUGCAGCUGCGGGCCCCUGGCAUACAUGAAGGGACCCAACACCAGCACUCCUAGCAGGGCCGGAGGCUCUGGGAGAACAAUAAAGACAGAGCCAAGCCAAGGUCCCUCCAGAGCACCCUGCCGGCCUGACCGAGCUCCCCCUCCAGAGGAAACAGCACCCUGCCCACCGCGUGGCGUUUGCCGUCUUGCUCCACACUCAGCACACACACGCUCAGGGUGCUCUGAGGCACACACACACCUGACACCUGCAGAAGGAAACAGGAAGUAUUUGAGAUACAAAUUGUUCUUUCGUCUCUAAGGUUGCACCUUUUUUUAAGUGUCCUCGCCUGGAAAACGAAGCAGUCGCAGAACUCGGGGUCGGGCCCCGUGCGCCGGGCCUUGGCCUGGCGGGGCCGCCGGUCGUCAGGGAGAAGCCGGAGCUCCACCAGCAUGAUGUUGCCAUGAAAACGGGGAGGGAGGUUGCCGAGGCGGAGCAAGGAGACCAUGAGCUGCUCGCAGCUGUGUCGGUACUCCACAGAGAAGCAGAGACGGGUGGCCAUGCCGGGAGGAGGUGCCACCACCUCGUUCAGAGGAGGAACUGAGUAGAGACCGGCCAGCACCGUCCCCACUGGGUACCAUCCUGAUGGAGACAGUAACAGCAAUAUAGAAAGUAGAUCACAUUAGUUAGUACAUGUAUUAUUCUUGAAUUAAGGUUUUAAAUUACUUUAAAUGUACUCAAAGGGACUAUAACCAUUUACACAUGCUGUCAAAUAAAGGCAGUAAUGACCUACUCCUUACUGUGAGUGACCCACGAUGGGCUAGUAUGUCCCUUCGGUCCUCCUCUUCUUCUUUCUCCUCCUCAUUUUUUAGGUUACCAUGGUUUUGUGCCGUGAAGCGAGGAGGCAAGGUAAAAGGGAUCUCACAGGGCCUUCCACACAGACAGAGACAAAUGUUAUUAAUUGUGGCUAUUUGCAGCUUUUUUCAAUAUCAACUUAAUUGUGAUAUAUAUAUAUAUAUUAAAAUCAAGACUACAAGUCCUGUAAACCCUGAUGCUUCCAAGCAAUGGAUGAUGUUCUUCAGCAAAGGGACUUUUUCUUAGAAGUAGCAACAUGUUUCAGAGGAUCAUUCCAUACUUUUGUCAUUGCUUCAGUCCAUUUUGUUUUUAAAACAACUGCUGGUUUCGUUUGCCUUUAAGAAAUCCAGCAAGGUGUAUCACAUAAUUUGACCUGAAGAAACUCAACUCUCUCUUCCUUCUUCAUCUUCUUCCCCAUUUUUCUCCUCAAUCUUCAUGUAAAGUCUGAAAUGUGAUAUAAAAGCUUGCUUUGCCUCUGUUGGCCAGAACUGAUUUAAAACCAUUAGUAUUGUUUAUGUAUUUUUUAAGCAGUAAAGUUGUUGACCAUAUAUUUGCAACAUCUCCAGUUUGAGUCCAGCUGGGGACCUUUUUUGGCAUUUCAAACCUCCUCUCAUCUCAUUCCUGUUGGCUCUCUACUGUACAAUUUCUAAUAAAAAAGGCAAAAGAAAUAGUUCAAUGGGAUCAAAUACAACUUUUGUACUGUUCCACAAAAUGUAAUAAAUAUACCUUUGAAAGAAAGAAUGAAUAAACAGUAAGAGAAAAGCACUA